Molecule: ribosomal RNA, 694 nt
Filed under: uncultured bacterium
Lineage: Bacteria
Description: bacterial SSU rRNA
Rfam family: Bacterial small subunit ribosomal RNA
Source: RNAcentral
AACGCUAGCUACAGGCUUAACACAUGCAAGUCGCGGGGCAGCAUGUUACUGGCUUGCCAGUAAUGAUGGCGACCGGCGCACGGGUGAGUAUCGCGUAUCCAACCUUCCCAUAUCCACGGGAUAGCCUGCCGAAAGGCAGAUUAAUACCGUAUGUUGUCGCACGCUGGCAUCAAAAUGCGACGAAAGGCUUAGCGGAUAUGGAUGGGGAUGCGUCCGAUUAGCUUGACUGCGGGGUAACGGCCCACCGUGGCGACGAUCGGUAGGGGUUCUGAGAGGAAGGUCCCCCACAUUGGAACUGAGACACGGUCCAAACUCCUACGGGAGGCAGCAGUGAGGAAUAUUGGUCAAUGGGCGGAAGCCUGAACCAGCCAAGUAGCGUGCAGGACGACGGCCCUAUGGGUUGUAAACUGCUUUUGUACGGGGAUAAAGUGAGCCACGUGUGGUUUAUUGCAGGUACCAUAUGAAUAAGGACCGGCUAAUUCCGUGCCAGCAGCCGCGGUAAUACGGAAGGUCCAGGCGUUAUCCGGAUUUAUUGGGUUUAAAGGGAGCGUAGGCCGCCCCUUAAGCGUGUUGUGAAAUGCCGCGGCUCAACCGUGGCACUGCAGCGCGAACUGGGAGGCUUGAGUGCACGCAACGCAGGCGGAAUUCGUGGUGUAGCGGUGAAAUGCUUAGAUAUCACGAAGAACUCCGAUUG